This 349-nucleotide ribosomal RNA is filed under the name uncultured Pelotomaculum sp. RNAcentral describes it as "bacterial SSU rRNA". It matches the Rfam family "Bacterial small subunit ribosomal RNA", at positions 1032 to 1382 of the family's 1533-position model. The record is from RNAcentral. Lineage: Bacteria; Bacillati; Bacillota; Clostridia; Eubacteriales; Desulfotomaculaceae.
AGACAGGUGGUGCAUGGUUGUCGUCAGCUCGUGUCGUGAGAUGUUGGGUUAAGUCCCGCAACGAGCGCAACCCCUACGUUUAGUUGCUAACGCGUGAAGGCGAGCACUCUAGACGAACUGCCGUUGACAAAACGGAGGAAGUGGGAUGACGUCAAAUCAUCAUGCCCCUUAUGUUCUGGGCUACACACGUGCUACAAUGGCCGGUACAGACGGACGCAAAGCCGCGAGGUGGAGCAAAUCCUAAAAAGCCGGUCUCAGUUCGGAUUGCAGGCUGCAAUUCGCCUGCAUGAAGUCGGAAUCGCUAGUAAUCGCAGGUCAGCAUACUGCGGUGAAUACGUUCCCGGGCCUU